AGGUGUAAUCAUAACAACACUAAUGCACUGGAUCCCAAUAAAACUCCGCAGUUAAGUGUGCUUGGGCGAGAGUAGUACUAGGAUGGGUGACAUCCUAGGAAGUCGUGUUUCCCCCCUU
Molecule: ribosomal RNA, 118 nt
Filed under: Beta vulgaris subsp. vulgaris (sugar beet)
Lineage: Eukaryota; Viridiplantae; Streptophyta; Magnoliopsida; Caryophyllales; Amaranthaceae
Source: RNAcentral